GUUAACUCCUGUUAGCAAUGUUCCCUCUAAGCUGCGCGCGUGCGCGGCCGCGCAGGCCAGCCAAAGUGGCCGCGCAAUAGAUUUGUCAGACCGCGCACAUUUUUCAGACCGCACAUAAACAUUGAUGCAUUUGCUGUUGUAAAAGAAUUAAGAGAGAGAGAAGGCGAGUGUUCUAGAAGGAGAAGAAACUUUCAACCAAUCGCUGAUCUUGCUACGGUGACAGACACUUUUAUGAGCCAAUGGUAGCAGCGCAUUCAGUUCACACAGUGACGCUGCCAGCACGGACGAGCACAGAGUGAGAGCGAGCCAGAUGAGCAGCUGCACGGGUCGAUCUCAAGAAACUAAAAUAUUUAUUAAGAGGAAAAAGUUCAGAUUCAAAACAGUGAUUUAAAACAAAUUAUUGGAUUCCUGAAGUGAUGCGAUAACUUGGAAAAGCUGUCGCUAGAGUGAGGAGAGAGCAAAAUAGAGAAUUAGAACGGAGGCAGAUGCAGAAUCACAGAGCAUCAAAACACUGCGAAUGAACUUCUUCUUUUAAAUAAGAAGUUAAAAUGUAUGCUUUGGCUGGGUUUUUUUGUGAGAAUUUCGAACAUCUGUAAAGUUCUCCUGCUCCAUCUUGGACACGCGAGACAAUUAAGUGAAGGUGUAUACAAAAAGG
Long non-coding RNA from Paramisgurnus dabryanus, 655 nucleotides. RefSeq lists it as uncharacterized. Lineage: Eukaryota; Metazoa; Chordata; Actinopteri; Cypriniformes; Cobitidae. The record is from RefSeq and is a predicted model, not a curated record.